GUAGGUGAACCUGCGGAAGGAUCAUUAAAAAGGAUACCGGGCAACCGGUAGACCCCACCCGUGUCUAUCUACUCUUGUUGCUUUGGCAGGCCGUGGCCUCCACCGUGGGCUCUGCCUGCGCGUGCCUGCCAGAGGACCAAACUCUGAAUUUUAGUGAUGUCUGAGUACUAUAUAAUAGUUAAAACUUUCAACAACGGAUCUCUUGGUUCUG
RNAcentral lists this unclassified non-coding RNA (211 nucleotides) under rhizosphere metagenome. RNAcentral's name for it is "partial ribosomal RNA internal transcribed spacer region". The record is from RNAcentral.